UCAAAUUACUCUUUUUUUUUUCCAGUCAAUUGUUGAUUUUUAAGGUCUACUGUAUAAAUAAUGUGUAGUUUCUUGACUAUCUAAACUAAAACUUACUACUUCUAAAAUCAUAGAUCGGUGGAGCAACUGGUAAAGGCUGAAUCUUUUUGUCUUUCUUUCAAUUCAAGAUUGUCUUUUUUUCAUUCUGCUUUGUUCGAAUUGAGUUGAUGGGUGUUUUGUGUUUUCUGAUUAAAGAAAAUUGAUGGGUGUUUUGUGAUAUGGGUCAGUGUUUUUGUGUGUAUACCUGUCUACAAGACUACUAAAUGUUUUGUUUGUACCUAAACUGCCUUAGUAUUUGUGAUCAUCAACCAGCACAAAUUUGCUCACUGAGUAGGUUGAUAGAUGGAAAGAAAUCACCUUUAGCAGGAUCUGAACCCAAUUUGUUUGUUGGUUAACUGUGCUCCUUCCCGGUUGGUGAGGAUUCGAUUUCCCACACUGUAAUCCCUCCAAUUCCUCCUUCUCCUGUCCCUAAUUUUUUUUUAUAAAAAAAAUCGGUUUCUUAUCAAGUAAUACCAAAUAUACCAGGUGAAAAGAAAUUAGUUUGCUGACUGCUGUAGGUUGUUCAGUUAGCUUUCUAAGGAGGAGGUUAUGAUUAUGUAGGGGUUGGAUUUUAGUUAGUCACACUAGUCCUUUUUAUAUGAGUGUUUUGUUUGUUUAUGCUGUAGCUUUUUGAGUUUCUGGAGGGGGAGGGGUUUACUGGGAAUUGAUGUGACUGAACCAUAACUAAACCCACUGGUGAAGAUAUGUAUCGUUAGGUAUAUGUUGUGUAUCUUUGGCGUGGUAUUGGAAGAGAAUUUUAUUGAAAAAAUAGAUUGGUGUAGUAUAUUUGUUGGUGUAUGAUUGCUUACCAAUUUGAGCUGUUGUUUACAAUUCCAAGACCUGGGAAUUCGCUGGAUGAUUUUAGUGUCUGCUUGAAUUUAUGGUGAGCAUCAUCUGUAAAAACAUGUGUUGAUGGUUGUUUUCUAUGGUUGUCGCACUCUGGAACCUUACUGUUUUUUCUUUUGGCGGUUGCAAAAUUUGAUCACUAUAGUGUCUUUAUGUAAUUCCAUCACAAUAAUCAUGGGUCUAAUAGGUCAUAAAUAAAGCUUUGUCUUUUCAUAUCAGCAAUAGCUAUUCCCAUACAAUGAAUUAAAGACUUUUUAUCAAUUCGAAGACUAAAUCACCCAAUAUCCUUAGACAAAUCACACACUUAACGUGACGUUUCAUGACCCAAGAUGAAAAUUCCUUUUCUUCAGCGUGUCUCACAUGUUUAAUUGUAAUCAUGUUUAUAGAAUCUAAGAUCCAAUGAUCUUUCCCUGGCUGUAUGUAUUUUCGCUUUUCAGGAAAAUCUGUUAGCUUGGAAGUUAUUGUUCUUUGCCUGAGCUACUAUUUUGGAGUCAGGUGCCUUCUUCUUAAUUUAGCUUGAGAAUGGAAAAUCCUGGAAAGAAGGUGUUGCUUACCUCCAACGGUGAUGAAAUUUGCAACAACAUUGCGUACCAUUUAGCUCAGAGGGGUUGCCAAUUGGUUUUGAUGGGAAAUGAGCGCCAAUUGAAGAGUGUAGCGGAGAAUAUAAAGCAAUCACUAAAGGGUAGUGUUGCCGUAGAAGUUGUGGGAUUGGAUAUGACGGAGGAUAGAGAAACUGCUUUUGAUGAAGCUGUGGACAAGGCAUGGAAGAUAUUUGGGAAGUUGGAUGCCUUGGUACACUGCUAUGCUUAUGAAGGGAAAAUGCAAGAUCCACUGCAGCUAAUUGAUGACGAGUUCAAAAAAAUUGUCAAAAUAAAUUUUAUGGCUGGAUGGUACCUGUUGAAAUGUAUCGGUAACAGAAUGCGAGACGGUAAAUCUGGAGGAUCCAUUGUAUUUAUGACCUCGAUCAUUGGUGCUGAGAGAGGAAUAUAUCAAGGAGCUGCUGCUUAUGGUUCAUGUGCCGCUGGAAUUCAGCAGCUGGUUAGGUUAUCUGCAAUUGAAUUGGGGAAGUACCAAAUCAGGGUGAAUGGCAUAUUGCGUGGCUUGCACCUCGAGGAUGAGUUUCCUUUGUCAGUGGGUAAGGAGAGAGCAGUGAAGUUGACCAAGGAAGCAGCGCCUCUAAAUCGAUGGCUUGAUCCUAAAAAGGAUCUGGCUUCCACUGUCAUCUAUUUAAUCAGUGAUGAUUCAAGAUACAUGACAGGAACCUCCAUCUUUGUUGAUGGUGCCCAGUCUCUAGUGAGGCCGCGAAUGCGCUCAUAUAUGUGAACUUUUCUAAUAUACAUGAAUGGAGAGCCAUAGACACUGGAAUUAUAUUAUAGUGUUGUGUAAAAACACAAGCAUAAGGAGAAGUACUAUGAGCUGUGUGGAUUUUCUUCUAUUGUAUUUGGUUUAAGGUUUCAAUAAUGAUGACAUUCUUCUUUUUCUCUUGUGAUUAAGUGAGAAUCUGUUGGUUCAUUGUCUCUCUUUAUUGCUGCAUAUUUGUAUCUAAUCUGAUUGUAAAAACAUUUCAAAAUCUA
This 2498-nucleotide unclassified non-coding RNA is filed under the name Hevea brasiliensis (rubber tree). The record is from RNAcentral. Lineage: Eukaryota; Viridiplantae; Streptophyta; Magnoliopsida; Malpighiales; Euphorbiaceae.